Long non-coding RNA from Grammomys surdaster, 521 nucleotides. RefSeq lists it as uncharacterized. The transcript has 3 exons. The record is from RefSeq and is a predicted model, not a curated record. Lineage: Eukaryota; Metazoa; Chordata; Mammalia; Rodentia; Muridae.
UCGCUCCAUGGCAGCUCUGAGACAAGGCCAUACACUGUUGGGUCCCUGCUCAUUUCCUCCCAACCGCCAUGCCAGGGGAAUCCCCUGUGCGCUGGUGGUCCCCUGCAGUAGUUCAUGUUCCCAGCAGACCCAAGAGGACACUGAGCCUUUCUCAGACAGCUCUGCUGCCCACAGACCUCUCCUUUCUCAUCUGUCUUCCUAUCUCUCUGCUUCCUAGCCCCAGACCAGCAACCUGAGCAAGGAUCACACUGCCCAAAUCAUUCCCAAUGUGAAUGUCACAGUGCUCCUUCCAGAGAGGAUUUCCAGUGAUACUGACGUUCCCCGCCCCAGGGUCACCCCUGAACUGGAAUAUGGAGUGCCCUGCUCCAGCACUGGGGUUGCAGGAGUGUAUCACCAUUCCCCACCUUUGACAAGGAUUCUGAGGAUCACACUCAGGUCUUCCUGCCUUCAUGGUCUUUGGCUCAGCAGCUUGAUGAAAGCAAGCAUCCAGCUCCAAGAGUCGCUUCCCCCCCAGCCCCCAC